GAUUUUGUUUUUGGCUCAAAACCCACCCUGGCGGCAGGCUUAACACAUGCAAGUCGAGCGCCCCGCAAGGGGACCGGCAGACGGGUGAGUAACGCGUGGGAAUCUACCCAUCUCUACGGAACAACUCCGGGAAACUGGAGCUAAUACCGUAUACGUCCUUCGGGAGAAAGAUUUAUCGGAGAUGGAUGAGCCCGCGUUGGAUUAGCUAGUUGGUGGGGUAAUGGCCUACCAAGGCGACGAUCCAUAGCUGGUCUGAGAGGAUGAUCAGCCACACUGGGACUGAGACACGGGCCCAGGACUCCUACGGGAGGCAGCAGUGGGGAAUAUUGGGCAAUGGGCGCAAGCCUGAUCCAGCCAUGCCGCGUGAGUGAUGAAGGCCCUAGGGUUGUAAAGCUCUUUCAACGGUGAAGAUAAUGACGGUAACCGUAGAAGAAGCCCCGGCUAACUUCGUGCCAGCAGCCGCGGUAAUACGAAGGGGGCUAGCGUUGUUCGGAAUUACUGGGCGUAAAGCGCACGUAGGCGGAUUGUUAAGUUAGGGGUGAAAUCCCAGGGCUCAACCCUGGAACUGCCUUUAAUACUGGCAAUCUCGAGUCCGAGAGAGGUGAGUGGAAUUCCGAGUGUAGAGGUGAAAUUCGUAGAUAUUCGGAGGAACACCAGUGGCGAAGGCGGCUCACUGGCUCGGUACUGACGCUGAGGUGCGAAAGCGUGGGGAGCAAACAGGAUUAGAUACCCUUGUAGUC
This 740-nucleotide ribosomal RNA is filed under the name uncultured bacterium. Its description in RNAcentral is "bacterial SSU rRNA". It matches the Rfam family "Bacterial small subunit ribosomal RNA", at positions 9 to 795 of the family's 1533-position model. The record is from RNAcentral.